GACGAACGCUGGCGGCGUGCUUAAUACAUGCAAGUCGAACGGAAGGCCCUGCUUUUGUGGGGUGCUCGAGUGGCGAACGGGUGAGUAACACGGGAGUAACCUGCCCUUGACUUUGGGAUAACUUCAGGAAACUGGGGCUAAUACCGGAUAGGAGCUCCUGCUGCCUGGUGGGGGUUGGAAAGUUUCGGCGGUUGGGGAUGGACUCGCGGGUUAUCCGCUUGUUGGUGGGGUAGUGGCUUACCAAGGCUUUGACGGGUAGCCGGCCUGAGAGGGGGACCGGCCACAUUGGGACUGAGAUACGGCCCAGACUCCUACGGGAGGCAGCAGUGGGGAAUAUUGCACAAUGGGCGGAAGCCUGAUGCAGCAACGCCGCGUGCGGGAUGACGGCCUUCGGGUUGUAAACCGCUUUCGCCUGUGACGAAGCGUGAGUGACGGUAAUGGGUAAAGAAGCACCGGCUAACUACGUG
This 467-nucleotide ribosomal RNA is filed under the name uncultured bacterium. Its description in RNAcentral is "partial 16S ribosomal RNA". It matches the Rfam family "Bacterial small subunit ribosomal RNA", at positions 28 to 507 of the family's 1533-position model. The record is from RNAcentral.